RNAcentral lists this long non-coding RNA (513 nucleotides) under Phoenix dactylifera (date palm). Its description in RNAcentral is "long non-coding RNA (PDAC_LNC021117)". Lineage: Eukaryota; Viridiplantae; Streptophyta; Magnoliopsida; Arecales; Arecaceae. The record is from RNAcentral.
AAGAAGGUUACUCGGAGCCUAGAAGAAGGAGCUCGUUUUAAGGAGCUUAUAGCGAGUUUUGUUUGCUUUGUCCCUCUUGACGUCGCUGGUAAUCCCAACACCUCCGUACAUGCGGAUGUACUCCGGGAUAGACGUGGAGAGCUAAAAACUGUAUGGGCCACCCUUGCUAGCAGAAGAGAAGGAUUCUACACUGCCGAUAUGAUGGAAAAGAAGUUUACCGAUCGAAUCCUCAUACAAUAGUCGUUUAACUUACUUACCUUAAGAGAAGUCUCUGUUUACGUAUUCGCUUUAGUUAGAUGCCUGAUUGAAAGAAAACUCUGGAAGAGUGCUGUGGUCUUGCUAUGGCUCUGGCGCCGAAAGGCCCCUCGAGUCCUCUUCAAGGCUGUAUUCCUUAUUCUUUUAUUGGUAUUACCAAAAACUCAUUUGAAAGAAAGAAAAAAAUGGGUUAUAACAAACUGAAGCUUAAAUAAAAAAGGAUUACUGAGAUGGUGAAUUGUUUCCUCUUCUCAAGGC